The sequence is a transfer RNA, 72 nucleotides long. It matches the Rfam family "tRNA". Rfam says of the family: Transfer RNA (tRNA) molecules are approximately 80 nucleotides in length. Their secondary structure includes four short double-helical elements and three loops (D, anti-codon, and T loops). Further hydrogen bonds mediate the characteristic L-shaped molecular structure. tRNAs have two regions of fundamental functional importance: the anti-codon, which is responsible for specific mRNA codon recognition, and the 3' end, to which the tRNAs corresponding amino acid is attached (by aminoacyl-tRNA synthetases). tRNAs cope with the degeneracy of the genetic code in two manners: having more than one tRNA (with a specific anti-codon) for a particular amino acid; and 'wobble' base-pairing, i.e. permitting non-standard base-pairing at the 3rd anti-codon position. The record is from Rfam.
GGGCCGGUAGAUCAGGGGUAGAUCGCCACCUUGGCAUGGUGGAGGCCUCGGGUUCGAAUCCCGACCGGUCCA